This 2021-nucleotide long non-coding RNA is filed under the name Mytilus galloprovincialis (Mediterranean mussel). The record is from RNAcentral. Lineage: Eukaryota; Metazoa; Mollusca; Bivalvia; Mytilida; Mytilidae.
AUUCUUUGGAAGAUUAGUAUAUAUGUGAUUAUAUCUAUAGAUCUAUAACCAAAACUAUAAAAACAAGAUAUUUACAUAGUACAUAUAUUUGUGAAUUUAUUAUUGCUUCAUUUGUAUUACUACCUUAUAUUAUCCCUUUAUGGUUUUGAUGUACCAAAAGAAAGAUAUAAAGAAAAAAAUCGGAAAUAUUGAAAUAAAAAAAAUAAGAGCCAACAAAAUAAGAUUAAUGCCAGACCUAUUUUAGUUUAUAUGAACAAUGGUAACAGAUAUGGGGCUUGUAAGAUUCAAAAUAUCAGGUUGUACAUUUCUCGAUUUAUUUAUUUUCGUGGAUUGAUGAGAAUUUCCCCCCGUGGAUGUUGUUAAUAUAAUAUUUCUUGGUUAUGCAAAAGUUUGUAUACAAGCCUAUAGAAAAUAUAAGCCUCGUUGAAUAUUUAAAUUCAUAGUUUUCCUUUACCAACGAAAAUUGGUAGACCCUAAAUAAUGAUGAACCCACGGUGCUUCCUAUGUUUAACAACGAACACGACUGUCAUACAAGUAUAGGGUAUGUGCCAUAAAUCUGGUUUAAUUUCAGCACUUUCAUUAUCAGUAAAUAUCCAUAGUCCAUCAUCAUUCAUUUAUUUUAUUGUAUUUCGAAUAUUGUCAUUGACAUUCGAUCAUUUGUUCCUCGAAAUAGUGAUUGAAACUAGAGCGGGAUAUAGAUACAGAAUGUUGCUCUUGAGGAAGGGAAAUAGUUGACCCAUGCUCUCAGGAUUUCAAACACCUGACCGCUAUGAUCUUUUUCGAUGAAUAAUUCUGAUUUGCUUACCCAAAAAACAUUACCCUCUCCAUUCUUACCAACAAAAUCCAAAAAAAAAACAAAAAACCAAAUAGCAUGUACGCCCACCUGUAAUCUAUAAUAUAUAUUGACUUGCUCCUGUAAGAUGUUAUAAAGAGCACGGUGUUAUUACAGCUCACGGUUCAAUAAAUAAUUGGGACCAAGCACACUAGCAAUUGUCUCUGAUCCCCCUACAAAUAUGCCUAUAUAAAGGUAAAAUGGACCAGUGCCUGUCGAAACAAGGGCCAAUCAAAUGCCGUAGCUUUGAUAGGUAAAAUAAGACAACAUAUUGACCAAAUAAAUAAACUUAAGAGAACACAAGUAGAAAUGUCUCGCCUGCUUUACUUGUUGUGGUUAAAAUUGAUGUUGAAAAUCUUUAGAAAUAUUUAAUAAAGGCAUCUGAUAAAUAUUACCAAUGAUUCAUGAAAAGUUAAAAAAAAAAAUACCGAACUCCUAAGAACUCCUAAGCAAACUAAAGAAGGGACAGUUCAUAAAAACUGUCAAAACACAACGUUAAUAAUCGAUGGUUUUAGUUCAAGGAACAGGGGCUAUGUCAUCGAUUUUGGUAUAAUUUGUAUACAACUUUAGCAAACGUGGAAUGAGGAUUAUAUUAUCAACUGAUUCUAACAGCAUUAAAAUAUUGAUCUCUGAUUUCGUUAUAAUACAUAUGAGCUAGAUUGAGAAUUAUAAUACACCAAAUUAGUACAACAGUAAUUACAUAAGUUUAUAAACAAAUAAAUAUGCUGCCAAAAAUAAACCAAAAUAAAACAUCGCACCAUCAUCACACGUGUUCAUGACGCUGUAUUGAUUACAUUCGGUAAACAUCAGCAGCAAAACCCGAACAUCAAUUUAGUUACAGCCAAAGUUUUCGAUCAGCAAUCAUUGAAGGAAUCUCUUUUUACCCGAUUAUAGUUAUGGGUUCAUUAUUACAAGAGUUUCGAAAGAUACCAGAGGGACAUUCAAACUCGUAUGUCGAAAAUAAACUGACAAUGGCUAAAAACGAAAAAAAAAGACCAAUAGACACACAAUAGUAAACAAAAAAACAACUUAAAAAACUAAAGACUGAACACGAACCCCACUAAACAUAGGGGAGAUCUAAGGUGCUCCGGAGAUCAUGCUCCACAUCUGGCAUCUGUCGUGUUCCUCAUGUUAUUUCAAAGCAGGUAAUAAGUUUAAUUCGGAUGGUCAAAUUCGGGAAAAGGGUACG